UCGCCUGCCUGUCCCCAGCCCCUCUCAGCUUGAACUCCUUCCUUCAAGUCUGGGCCCUCGAGGUUUCCAGAGCGGCCUCCAGGGGUGCAGUCUCAGUUCCCCACGCCAGCCGUCUCCGUCCUCCGCCUCCUCCGGGCCUGGCAGGUGGCACUGUCCGGAGGCGGAGCCUUGGGCCAGGGGUGGUUGCGGCGGAGGACUGAAUCGAGCGGGACUGUGGCCUCACCAUGGACCCGGAAUGCGCCCAGCUGCUCCCGGCUCUCUGUGCUGUUCUGGUAGAUCCCAGGCAGCCGGUGGCAGAUGACACCUGUUUGGAGAAGCUACUGGACUGGUUUAAAACGGUCACUGAAGGAGAGUCCAGUCUCGUGCUGCUGCAGGAGCACCCCUGCCUGGUGGAGCUGCUGUCCCAUGUGCUGAAAGUCCAGGACCUGAGUCCCGGGGUCCUCUCCUUCUCACUCCGUCUGGCAGGAACCUUCGCGGCCCAGGAAAACUGCUUCCAGUAUCUUCAGCAGGGGGAGUUGCUACCAGGGCUCUUUGGGGAGGCAGGACCCCUCAGCCGAGCAGCCUGGGCCGUCCCCACCGUGCGCAGCAGCUGGAUCCAGGGCCUGCGCUCCCUGGCACAGCACCCCAGCGCUCUGCGCUUCCUGGCCAACCACGGUGCGGUUGACACCAUCUUCUCCCUGCAGGGAGACUCCAGCCUGUUUGUGGCCUCGGCGGCCAGUCAGCUCCUGGUACACGUCCUGGCUUUGUCCAUGCAAGGUGGAGCCAAGGGGCAGCCCUGCCUGCCGGGGGGUGACUGGCCCGCGUGUGCCCAGAAGAUCAUGGAUCACGUUGAAGAGUCCUUGUGCUUCACGGCCACCCCCAAGGUCACUCAGGCCCUGAACGUCCUGACCACGACCUUCGGGCGCUGCCAGAACCCCUGGACGGAAGCCCUGUGGGUGCGGCUGAGUCCCCGCGUGGCCUGUCUGCUGGAGAGAGACCCCAUCCCCGCCGCACACUCGUUCGUGGACCUGCUUCUCUGUGUGGCUCGGUCAGGGCCCCGGGACGCAGCUGGGGGGCCUGGGUGGGCAAUUGUUUUCCAUCCCUGGGCAAAUGACUCCCAGGGAUGUCCCACUGGCAGCCAGAGACUCUCUGAGGACGUGGCCUGCAGUGAAGUGGCACCGGAGUGACCCUGGAACCCUCAUGGGGAAAGGCCUGUCUUGGGCUGGGCGCCUCCAGCGUGGGGGCCAUGGCAGUCUCAGCCAGGCCUCGGAUGGAGUUUUGCAGGUGGAGGAGUAAUUUUUCUCUCUGGGGUCUCCCUGCAGUUCUCCCGUGUUCAGUUCUUCUGACGGCGGCCUGUGGGAGACGGUGGCGCAGGCUCUGAGCUGCCUGGGCCCCACCCACGUGGGACCCCUGGCUUUGGGGAUCCUGAAGCUCGAGCACUGGUAUGGUCUGGGGUGUGUUUCAUGCUGAGGCGGGUGCUGGGAGCUGGGGCAGGCAGGGAGGUUGAGAGCGGGGCCCUCACGGCAGGAGAGUUCCGGACACCAGGGACAGUCAGACGGCCGUGCGGGGGUGUGACUGGGCCAUGCGUGGGUUGCGCGCGGCAGCCUUGCAGGCUGGCAGCUUCUGCAGGAUCUUUAGCGACAGAAUAAUUGUUUCAGACCAAAGCUCUGCGAGAUCCACAGAGGUGAGAAGGAUGCCGGAGCUGCUCUACUCAGAGCAGGGUGGUCCUGCCCACGCCCUGCGCUCUGCUGCCCUCCCACCUGCCCCUCACCGCAGCUUUGUUUGGGGGUGCUGGAGCUCCCCAGCACACACACCAUGCGGGUGGGGGGCCUGGGGGCGGUGGAACGGCAGAGCCUGGGGUCAGGACAGGUGGGAAGGCCGUGGAUGGCCUGCCAGGGUUCCAGGUGGGCUCCCGUUAGGGGUGGAAGUGACCUCAGGACCUGCUGCCCAAAGGGCCCGGGGUACCAUGAGAGUCCAGCACUGAGCUCCGGGGUCUCCGAAUGUUUAGGAGAGAGUAGACUUGGGGGAGGAUGGAGGAACAGGCCCGGCCCUGCGGAAUGCAGUGUGGGGACACUGCCCCCACCUGGGCCCAGACGUGAGGGCAGGUCCCUCCCACAGAGUGGAUGCUGUGCACACCUGGGGACACCCGGGAGGCUGGGGGCACCCUGUCCCUGACCCCCUGAGCGGGCACUGCCCCUCUGUCUGGGUGCAUGGCCAGGCCCUCCUGGAGGCCCCUCAGUAUCUGUUCCUAAGGACAUCAGGAGUGUCAGGCCCAUCUCCUUGGUCAGGCCUGUCCACCCCGCCACUCUCUGUCCCAUGGCGUCCCCUGGCCAGUGGCCUGCAGAGAAUCUGUUUCUCGGGGGGUGUCCCAACCCCCUGGCUGAUUUGCCCCAGGCUUGCUGGGGACGUUAGGAGCAUAGCCAACUUGUCUCACGGGCAGGGUUGCGGCACUCACCUCGUGUUUGUCUCCAGUCCACAGGCACUGAGGACCCAGGCCUUCCAGGUCCUUCUCCAGCCCCUGGCCUGUGUCCUGAAGGCCACGGUUCAGGCCCCCGGACCCCCAGGCUUGCUGGAUGGGACGGCAGACGAUGCCACGACGGUGGACACGCUCCUGGCCUCCAAGUCGUCCUGCGCGGGCCUCCUGUGCCGCACCCUGGCUCACCUGGAGGAGCUGCAGCCGCUGCCCCAGCGCCCUUCACCGUGGCCCCAGGCGUCCCUACUGGGAGCUACAGUGACUGUCCUGCGGCUCUGCGGCGGCUCAGCUGCCCCCGCCUCCCGUGUGGGGGGCCACCUGUGUGGGACCCUGGCGGGCUGCGUCCGGGUCCAGCGAGCAGCCCUCGACUUCCUGGGGACGCUGUCACAGGGGACAGGCCCCCAGGAGCUGGUGACGCAGGCGCUUGCUGUCCUCCUGGAGUGCCUCGAGAGCCCUGGCUCCAGCCCCACGGUAUGGCGGUGGGGAUAGGGAGCGAGGAGAGGAGGGAGGCAGAGGCAGUGGGACCCACCCCCGACUCCACCCCGGCCCCGUGCAGGCCUCCGCAGAUGGAGCCUUCACACAGGGCCACAGAGUUGCUGCUCAGAGAGCUUCACGAUGCAGGUGGCUGCAUGGGUCAGGCUCAGGGCCUCUUGUUGGUGAAGAUACAUCAGCACGCAGGGGUGUGUGGGGCCGUGGGGAGCAGGGGCACUGGCCAGGCGGCCUGCAGGGAAUUCUGGACAAGGGAAACGAGGUAGCACCAGGACGGCCCUGGGCGUGGGCUCCGGGUUCUUCUAAGCACCAUUUGUGAACGUGCCCACUCCACAGCCCCUCACGGAGCUGGGCCCUGGCAGGUACAGACCUUGCACCACCUGCCGCUGAGCAGACAGCAGACAACUUUGGAGGAAGGGCCCAGGGCUUCUUGGGAUCCUAAGGAAAAGGUGCCCUGCGUAAUUGCUCAUGUUUUGAUGUAGAAAUCCUGUUGCCUGGGUUGUGGGUCUUCUGGUGGGGGCUGCCGCCACCUCCUCCUCCUCACAGUCUGGGAAGCCAGUUCUGCAGCAGAUUCUGCCCUAUUAAAAUCAGCCCAGGAGGGGCGUGGGGCUCACAGCUGUGAUUACUGUGCGUUGGGGGGCCGAGGUGGGGGGAUCAAUGGAGCCCAGGACUUUGAGGCCAGCCUGGGCAACAUAGCAAGAUCCCAUCUCUACAAAAAAAUACAAAAAUUAGCCCCGGAGGUAUAGCUCAGGGGUAGAGCAUUUGACUGCAAAAAUUAGCCGGGCGUGGUGAUGUGUGCCUCUAGCCCCAGCUACUCAUGAGACUGAGGCAGGAGGAUUGUUUGAACCGGGGAGAUGGAGGCUGCAGUGAACUGUGAUUACAGUCCAGCCUGGGUGACACAGUGAGACCCUGUAAAGAAGGAAGCCCAGCGUUCUCUUCUCUCUUCCCUUCCUGUCCCCAUCUGUGUCCUUGGAGUAGGGGCAGCACAGGUGAAGGUGAGGGGGACAGACAGACAGCUUGCCCGUCCCCUCCCAUGGCCCUACAGCCCACCCUGUGUGCUCCAGGUUCUGAAGAAGGCCUUCCAGGCUACGCUCAGGUGGCUGCUGAGCUCACCCAAGACCCCCGGCUGCUCUGAUCUCGGCCCCCUCAUCCCGCAGUUCCUCAGAGAGCUGUUCCCUGUGCUGCAGAAACGCCUGUGCCACCCCUGCUGGGAGGUGAGGGACUCCGCCCUCGAGUUCCUGACCCAGCUGAGCAGGCACUGGGGAGGACAGGUCGGCUUCAGAUGCGCACUCUUGGCUUCAGAGGUGCCUGAGCUGGCCCGGCAGCUCCUCCAGGACCCUGAGAGUUAUGUCCGAGCGAGCGCGGUGACCGCCAUGGGGCAGCUGUCCAGCCAGGGCCUGCACGCCCCCACCAGCCCUGAGCAUGCAGAGGCCCGGCAGGUAGGAAGUGGUGGGUUCCUUGGCUGCCAGCCCCCAUGAGCCCUGAGCACGCAGAGGUCUGGCAGAGCCUGUUCCUGGAGCUCCUGCGCAUCCUCUCCGUAGACUCGGAGGGCUUCCCACGGCGGGCGGUCAUGCAGGUCUUCACCGAGUGGCUGCGGGACGGCCACGCCGACGCGGCCCAGGACACGGAGCAGUUCGUGGCCACUGUGCUGCAGGUGGUGAGCCGGGACCUGGACUGGGAGGUCCGCGCCCAGGGCCUGGAGCUGGCACUGGUGUUCCUGGGCCAGACUUUGGGGCCGCCACGUACCCACUGCCCCUAUGCCAUGGCCCUACCCGAGGUGGCCCCAGCCCGGCCACUCACCGAGGCACUGAGGGCUCUCUGCCACGUGGGGCUCUUUGACUUCGCCUUUUGUGCCUUGUUUGACUGCGACCGCCCUGUGGCGCAGAAGUCUUGUGACCUUCUUCUCUUUCUGAGGGACAAGAUUGCUUCCUACAGCAGCCUGCGGGAGGCCGGGGGCGGCCCCAGCACCACCUCCAUGGAGGCCACCCUGCCAAGGUGGCGGGCGGGUGAGCAGGCCCAGCCCUCGGGAGACCAGGAGCCUGAGGCUGUGCUGGCCAUGCUCAGGUCCCUAGACCUGGAGGGCCUGCGGAGAACGCUGGCCGAGAGCAGCGACCACGUGGAGAAGAGUCCCCAGUCCCUCCUGCAGGACAUGCUGGCCACGGGAGGCUUCCUGCAGGGGGACGAGGCCGACUGCUACUGAGCAGAACCAGAGUCUGCCACUGGGGCUCAGGACUGAGGGAGGCAGCACCAUGUCCUUCUGUGGGACACUGCCAGCCCCAGGGCUCCAGCUCAGCCUGGUGGAUCCUCUGGGGAAGCCAGGACCAGGAGAGAAGCAAGGUCAAAAAAUCCAACAUUUUGAUGUAUUAAAGAAAUGACUUAUUUUCUACUC
RNAcentral lists this small RNA (5330 nucleotides) under Pongo abelii (Sumatran orangutan). RNAcentral describes it as "retained intron". The record is from RNAcentral. Lineage: Eukaryota; Metazoa; Chordata; Mammalia; Primates; Hominidae.